GGAGUUGCAUAGACAACUAGGAUGUUGGCUCAGAAGCAGCCACCAUUUAAAGAGUGCGUAAUAGCUCACUAGUCGAGUGAUCCUGCGCCGAAAAUGUACCGGGGCUAAGCAUACUACCGAAACCAUGGAUGCGACCAUUAGGUCGCGUGAUAGGAGAGCGUUCUAAGGGCGGUGAAGCAAGAUCGUGAGGACUUGUGGAGCGCUUAGAAGUGAGAAUGCCGGUAUGAGUAGCGAAAGAUAGGUGAGAAUCCUAUCCACCGAAUGACUAAGGUUUCCUGGGGAAGGCUCGUCCUCCCAGGGUUAGUCGGGACCUAAGUCGAGGCCGAGAGGCGUAGACGAUGGAUAACAGGUUGAGAUUCCUGUACUAGUUAAGUGCGUUUGAGCAAUGGAGGGACGCAGGAGGCUAAGAUGUGCAUUCUGUUGGAUUAGAAUGUCCAAGCAGUAAGUCUUGUGAAGAGUCAAAUGCUUUUCACUUUAAGGACAAGCUGUGAUGGGGAGCGAAAUUUAGUAGCGAAGCGUCUGAUGUCACACUGCCGAGAAAAGCUUCUAGUGAGUACUUAACUACCCGUACCGCAAACCGACACAGGUAGUCGAGGAGAGAAUCCUAAGGUGAGCGAGUGAACUCUCGUUAAGGAACUCGGCAAAAUGACCCCGUAACUUCGGGAGAAGGGGUGCUGAUCGCAAGAUCAGCCGCAGUGAAUAGGCCCAGGCGACUGUUUAUCAAAAACACAGGUCUCUGCAAAAUCGUAAGAUGACGUAUAGGGGCUGACGCCUGCCCGGUGCUGGAAGGUUAAAAGGAUGGGUUAGCUUCGGCGAAGCUCAGAAUUGAAGCCCCAGUAAACGGCGGCCGUAACUAUAACGGUCCUAAGGUAGCGAAAUUCCUUGUCGGGUAAGUUCCGACCCGCACGAAAGGCGUAACGAUCUGGGCACUGUCUCAACGAGAGACUCGGUGAAAUUAUAUUGUCCGUGAAGAUGCGGACUACCCGCGACAGGACGGAAAGACCCCAUGGAGCUUUACUGUAGCUUGAUAUUGAGUGUUUGUACAGCUUGUACAGGAUAGGUAGGAGCCAUAGAAACCGGAACGCUAGUUUCGGUGGAGGCGUUGGUGGGAUACUACCCUCGCUGUAUGACCACUCUAACCCGCACCACUAAUCGUGGUGGGAGACAGUGUCAGGUGGGCAGUUUGACUGGGGCGGUCGCCUCCUAAAAAGUAACGGAGGCGCCCAAAGGUUCCCUCAGAAUGGUUGGAAAUCAUUCGCAGAGUGUAAAGGCACAAGGGAGCUUGACUGCGAGACAGACAGGUCGAGCAGGGACGAAAGUCGGGCUUAGUGAUCCGGUGGUACCGUAUGGAAGGGCCAUCGCUCAACGGAUAAAAGCUACCCUGGGGAUAACAGGCUUAUCUCCCCCAAGAGUCCACAUCGACGGGG
This 1427-nucleotide ribosomal RNA is filed under the name Lactiplantibacillus plantarum. Its description in RNAcentral is "Lactobacillus plantarum partial 23S ribosomal RNA". It matches the Rfam family "Bacterial large subunit ribosomal RNA", at positions 1077 to 2513 of the family's 2925-position model. The record is from RNAcentral. Lineage: Bacteria; Bacillati; Bacillota; Bacilli; Lactobacillales; Lactobacillaceae.